GAGAAGGUGAUGGGUGCGUAUGGAUAUAAUAUCGAGCACAUACUGAUGGUUGACAUUAUUCCUGAUGCUUCUGUGAGAAGAGCUAUGAAUGAGAUAAAUGCAGCUCAAAGGAUGCAGCUUGCUAGUGUAUACAAAGGAGAAGCAGAUAAAAUUCUGCAAGUUAAGAAAGCAGAAGCUGAGGCUGAAGCCAAGUAUUUAGGUGGGGUUGGGGUUGCCAGGCAGAGGCAGGCAAUUACCGAUGGUUUGAGAGAAAACAUCUUAAACUUCUCACAUAAAGUAGAAGGGACCUCUGCCAAAGAAGUAAUGGAUCUUAUAAUGAUCACCCAAUAUUUUGACACCAUCAAAGACCUUGGGAACUCUUCAAAGAACACAACCGUUUUCAUACCACAUGGUCCUGGCCAUGUUCGCGACAUUGGUGAUCAGAUACGUAAUGGCCUGAUGGAAGCAGCUAGCGCAAAGGACGCUGAAUAGGUCUGCUCGUUUUAACGAUCAGAAGCCUGUGUCUGUUGUACCCAAGAAGGUUACACAAUAAGAACAAUUGGAGUUUGAUAGUUUUGGUUUGGAUUGUUUUUGUUUUCUCUUUAGCCAUGAGCAUUGACAUUGGCAACAUUGUUUGAUGU
RNAcentral lists this unclassified non-coding RNA (620 nucleotides) under Hevea brasiliensis (rubber tree). The record is from RNAcentral. Lineage: Eukaryota; Viridiplantae; Streptophyta; Magnoliopsida; Malpighiales; Euphorbiaceae.